Molecule: ribosomal RNA, 253 nt
Filed under: uncultured bacterium
Lineage: Bacteria
Description: partial 16S ribosomal RNA
Rfam family: Bacterial small subunit ribosomal RNA
Source: RNAcentral
GACAGAGGUGGCGAGCGUUGUUCGGAAUCACUGGGCUUAAAGGGCGAGUAGGCGGUAGGGCAAGUCUGAGGUGGAAUCCUAUGGCUCAACCAUAGAACUGCCUUGGAAACUGUUCUACUUGAGUCAGUGAGGGGAGGGCGGAAUUCCCGGUGUAGCGGUGAAAUGCGUAGAUAUUCUGAGGAACACCGGUGGCGAAAGCGGCACGCUGGGUCUUUUCUGACGCUGAGGCACGAAAGCUAGGGGAGCAAACGGG